AAUUUUUGACAAUGGGCGCAAGCCUGAUCCAGCAAUGCCGCGUGCAGGAUGAAGGCCUUCGGGUUGUAAACUGCUUUUGUACGGAACGAAAAGUCUUGGGCUAAUACCCUGGGAUCAUGACGGUACCGGAAGAAUAAGCACCCGCCAACUACGUUCCAGCAGCCGCGGUAAUAAGUAGGGUGCAAGCGUUAAUCGGAAUUAAUGGGCGUAAAGCGUGCGCAGGCGGUUUUGUAAGACAGUGGUGAAAUCCCCGGGCUCAACCUGGGAACUGCCAUAGUGACUGCAAGGCUAGAGUACGGCAGAAGGGGAUGGAAUUACGCGUGUAGCAGUGAAAUGCGUAGAUAUGCGGAGGAACACCGAUGGCGAAGGCAAUCCCCUGGGCCUGCACUGACGCUCAUGCACGAAAGCGUGGGGAGCAAACAGG
This 424-nucleotide ribosomal RNA is filed under the name uncultured bacterium. RNAcentral describes it as "partial 16S ribosomal RNA". It matches the Rfam family "Bacterial small subunit ribosomal RNA", at positions 360 to 776 of the family's 1533-position model. The record is from RNAcentral.